Molecule: ribosomal RNA, 489 nt
Filed under: uncultured bacterium
Lineage: Bacteria
Description: partial 16S ribosomal RNA
Rfam family: Bacterial small subunit ribosomal RNA
Source: RNAcentral
UGGGGAAUAUUGGACAAUGGGCGCAAGCCUGAUCCAGCCAUGCCGCGUGAGUGAUGAAGGCCUUAGGGUUGUAAAGCUCUUUCACCGAUGAAGGUAAUGACGGUAGUCGGAGAAGAAGCCCCGGCUAACUUCGUGCCAGCAGCCGCGGUAAUACGAAGGGGGCUAGCGUUGUUCGGAAUUACUGGGCGUAAAGCGCACGUAGGCGGAUAUUUAAGUCAGGGGUGAAAUCCCGCAGCUCAACUGCGGAACUGCCUUUGAUACUGGGUAUCUUGAGUAUGGAAGAGGUUAGUGGAAUUGCGAGUGUAGAGGUGAAAUUCGUAGAUAUUCGCAGGAACACCAGUGGCGAAGGCGGCUAACUGGUCCAUAACUGACGCUGAGGUGCGAAAGCGUGGGGAGCAAAACAGGAUUAGAUACCCUGGUAGUCCACGCCGUAAACGAUGAAUGUUAGCCGUCGGCAAGUUUACUUGUCGGUGGCGCAGCUAACGCAUU